Molecule: ribosomal RNA, 114 nt
Filed under: Beta vulgaris subsp. vulgaris (sugar beet)
Lineage: Eukaryota; Viridiplantae; Streptophyta; Magnoliopsida; Caryophyllales; Amaranthaceae
Source: RNAcentral
UGAGUUAAUGGCUCUGAUCUCACCGGAUCCCACCUGAACUCCGCAGUUCAGGGUCCUUGGGUGAGAGUAGUACUAGGAUAGGUGACCUCCUAGUAAGUACUCGUGUUGAACCCC